This 427-nucleotide ribosomal RNA is filed under the name uncultured bacterium. Its description in RNAcentral is "partial 16S ribosomal RNA". It matches the Rfam family "Bacterial small subunit ribosomal RNA", at positions 355 to 774 of the family's 1533-position model. The record is from RNAcentral.
UGGGGAAUAUUGGACAAUGGGGGCAACCCUGAUCCAGCCAUGCCGCGUGUGUGAAGAAGGCCUUUUGGUUGUAAAGCACUUUAAGCAGUGAAGAAGACUCCAUGGUUAAUACCCAUGGACGAUGACAUUAGCUGCAGAAUAAGCACCGGCUAACUCUGUGCCAGCAGCCGCGGUAAUACAGAGGGUGCAAGCGUUAAUCGGAAUUACUGGGCGUAAAGCGAGCGGAGGGGGCUUGAUAAGGCAGAUGUGAAAGCCCCGGGCUUAACCUGGGAACGGCAUGUGAUACUGUUAGGCUAGAGUAGGUGAGAGGAAGGUAGAAUUCCAGGUGUAGCGGUGAAAUGCGUAGAGAUCUGGAGGAAUACCGAUGGCGAAGGCAGCCUUCUGGCAUCAUACUGACACUGAGGUUCGAAAGCGUGGGUAGCAAACA